This 3715-nucleotide long non-coding RNA is filed under the name Canis lupus familiaris (dog). Its description in RNAcentral is "lncRNA (ENSCAFG00000055963.1)". The record is from RNAcentral. Lineage: Eukaryota; Metazoa; Chordata; Mammalia; Carnivora; Canidae.
UUUUUUUUUUUAGAUGCAUUUUGUUUAUUUUGGAGACAGCAGAGGGAAGGGCAAAGAGAGAGUCCCAAGCAGACUUCACACAGAGUGCAGAGCCGGACAAGGGGCACCAUCCCACCCCCCUGAGAUCAUGACCUGAGCCGAAACCAAGAGUCAGCUGCUUAACCAACUGAGCCACCCAGGUGCCCCUGAAAUCCACUCAUCUUAUUCAGAACAAGCACCAUCUCCUCCCAGAAGCCCUCCCAAACUAUUUUAGCCAGCAGGAGUGCCUUCCUUCUCUAACCCAUAGAGCAUGUGUGGAUUGUAAGAAGACUUCACAGGCAUAUCAUAGUCUCUGAAUGCCCAGGAUGAUGUCUUCUUUUCAUCUAGCACAGUGUCUUCCCUUUAAUAAGUUUUUACCGAAAGUUUUUCAUCAGCUGGGAACAAGGUGCUAUGGACAUACAUGGGGAAGGUAAGGUUAUACAAGCACUCUUUUAGAGCUUGCAUUCAGAGACUUUCAAAGAGUUUUGCACCAUGAAAAGUAUGACAAAAGAACCCUCAAAUUUGCCUUAGAAAUAUAUUGGCACUGAAAGGAGGAAUUACAUUAAUGUCAGAAAAACUGACUCUUUAGCCCAAUUAUUCCCCAUUUGCAACACCUACAGAGGAUAUGGUUCACUUCAAUUAAUUUGUGCUGCUGAAAGCACUUUUUCUUGUAAUUUGGGAAAUGCUUUCAAACGAUGCAGUUAUAGAUGAGCCAUUAAUGAUGCGCUCUCUGACCAGAGCUGAGAGCAGGCCAACUGAGAGCCCAGAGCCAGGUGGGGUUGGUUAGACACCCAGAGAAGUAGCAUCCACAGCACUCUUCAUCUGCAGAUAAGGAAUGCCUCAAAGAAAACCAUCUGAAAACUUCCAAUUACACAUCUGACAGAACAGCUCAAAGGCUAAAAUGAAAUGAAAUGCUUAGUGUGCAACCACUUUCAUGAGUUUUAAAGUUCAAAUAUUUGAAAGGCUAUUUCAUUGCAUUGCACGUAAAAAAAAUAAAUAAAUAAUCACCAAGUAUCUUGCCAGAUGCAAUACCAACUGAGUACAUGAUAUGCAUUCUUGUCUCCUAAAAGUGUCAACUCCAGAAACUCUCCUGUUUCUGCUCUUUUACAUCUUAGAAUAAAAUGUUCAAUUCCCCUAUCUCAUAUUCUGCUAGCUGCCUUCUCCUUGUUUCAUCUCUUUACUCUUGGAAUUAAACUUUUGUUUUUGGGAUUUAAUGUACUUAAUUCUUUUUUAAGAUUUUAAUUAUUCGUGAGAGACACAGAGAGAGAGAGGCAGAGACAUAGGCAGAAGGAGAAGCAGUCUCCCUGCAGGGAGCCCUAUGCGGGACUCGAUCCCAGGACCCUAGGAUCAUGACCUGAACCAAAGGCAGAUGCUCAACCAUUGAGCCAGCUAGGUUCCUUUAAUGUAUUUAAGUUUUGAAUAGAUAACACAUUCACAUGGUUUAAAUACGAAAAAGUCUAAGAAAGUAGACAGUAAAAAAGAUACUUCCUCAUCUAUCUCCCACAGGUAAUUGCUCUCACUAGUUUUUUUGUGUGUUCUUAGAAAAACCUUUUUUGAGUAUACAAGCAAAUACUAAUACAUAGACUUAUUUAUUUAUUUAUUUAUUUAUUUAUUUAUUUAUUUAUUUUGGAAUUAACAUGUCCCAUUCCAAAUCAUCACGGGAUGGGUGGAGCACCUGGUGGUUAGAGUUGCAGUGUCUGGCACUAUGCUUGGUACAGAACAAGGACUUAAUGCUUGUGGGCCAAAGGGACAAGAACCAUGACCAGUCCCCUCCAAGUUCCUUCAACCCACUCCUAUUUCCCUACUUGAGUUUUGAGUGGUUUUGAGGAUGAGGUGGAUAAAUGGAAAUGAUUUUCAAAAGAAGAGAAGAGAAAUGAGCAAAGGAAGGCAAUUGAAAGGAUGCUGGAAUGGGGGCAGAGGCUAACCAGGGAAGCAAUGUGCCCCUCUGCAGGGGAAGCAUCAGAAUGAAAACCAAAAAAUUCUGAUUACUGGCCUCCUCCUUGUUCCACUUCCAUCCUUACUUCAAGGAUGAGGUGGGAUUCAGGGUACCAACACACCUAAGAGAAGAGCUCAGUACUUAUCUCAUGACACAAGUGACUAUUGAAUGUCUGGGCCUGGAGAAAACAUUCUAAGGCAGACUGGAGCAUGCCUGCCUCUGCUGACAGUUCUUUUGCACCUUUGGGAGGCUGCGACUUUUACUCCCAAAGCUUCUACUAAGUGUAAAGCCUCAGUUCUCAGUCUCCUCUAUGUUACACCUUACCGUGAAAAGCAAAACUUCUCUCUUAAAAAAAAAUUUUUUUUUCAGUUCAUUAGGUACAAAUCCUCUUAUCUCACCCCAAAGAAUGUCUUGUUACUGUACUAGAGCAGAUCUAAGUCCAAAAGACAAUGUCACACACCACCUUGACCCCUAAGAAGCUAUGGCCUUUCUUUCAUCUGGUGGCUGUGAGUCUCUCUAUAAGUCUCUCUCAUAAAGUCUCCACUGCCCAACCAAAGAUACCUGAUUCCUUUAUUCAGAGUAUUCAUCAAAUUAUGAAAAUUAAAUUCAUUUUUCCUAUUCAAUGUAUCGUUUGAUAAAUCCCAACACUGUGAAAUUGAGGAGCUACAGAUUAAGAUAUAUAGUUACAGGACAGGGAAAACAAGUCACUUGAAAUCUAUGACCACUUUAAUGACAAAGAAAGCCAGGAGUCCUUGACUACUCUAGUUGAGAGCAGGAGUGAGCAGAAGGUAGAAGUGCCCUCCCUGGGCACCCAUGCUCAGUCACCCUGCAUGGCAUGAUGUAAGAUGAAAGCAUCUGCUGACUCUAAGAGGUAUAAUUACCACCAGGGUGGGGGUAUAAUUAAAGUAAGAAUAAUUUACCUUAAAGAAGAUAAAAAUUAAGAAUUAUUAAUGAUCAUAAUAAUUAGCCUUCUUAUAUCUAAGAAUCACAAAUGCUUUACAAGCUGUAAUUAUCACAGCUGUCCUCUGAGGAAGGGAUUCAUAUCUUACAUCUCCUCACUUAACAGAGGGGUGAAGUGAUGGGCAUGUGGGAAGGCAGAAAGGAGUGGAGUGGUAAUGCCUCUUCCAUCACCUGUCCCAUACAUGGUGAAACUAGAAAGGCCCUAAAAGAGCUGACUCCUAUUAUGGUGUGUGCCUUCAUCCCCAAACCCAUAGAAAUCCAUCCCAAAUCAAGCAAUCCAUCUCAUUCUGACCUGCUAGCCAUUUAAACUGCUUCAAUGCAAUAAAAUUAUACCAACAAGGAUUUUACAAAACACCUAGUCAAGGUAAAAGAUACAGUAUUGCCUUCAAGGAAUUUAAAUCCUAACUGAGAAGACAAAACAAGGCUCCAUUAAAUUAGAGGGAAAAAAUGUGGAAAAUACACAUUAACUAGUGCUAGAUUGUAUGAUGCUGACAAUGCUUGCUAUGUAAAAUUAUUUUAAUUGCAAGAUCACUAUAUGUAAAGGUCAAGAAAGAGAUGGAACUUGUACAGGGCCUCAAAGAAAAUACCAUAGGUCUUAGACUGGCAGAGAUGGGGUCCCACUGAGUGAAUCAGUGAAUAAGAAGAAACAAUAGGAAAACUUGAAAGGUUUAACACAUAAUCUUAAGAAAAAAGUCUUCAUUGGAGAGAUGUUUAGAGAGCUUACCAAACAAUCUUAUUUUUUUAAAGCCAUCUCAAAUCACCCUACUUGGGGACAUCUGAGUGGCUCAGUCAGUUAGUUAA